GAUGAACGCUGGCGGCGUGCCUAAUACAUGCAAGUCGAGCGAACAGAUAAGGAGCUUGCUCCUUUGACGUUAGCGGCGGACGGGUGAGUAACACGUGGGUAACCUACCUAUAAGACUGGGAUAACUUCGGGAAACCGGAGCUAAUACCGGAUAACAUUUGGAACCGCAUGGUUCUAAAGUGAAAGAUGGUUUUGCUAUCACUUAUAGAUGGACCCGCGCCGUAUUAGCUAGUUGGUAAGGUAACGGCUUACCAAGGCGACGAUACGUAGCCGACCUGAGAGGGUGAUAGGCCACACUGGAACUGAGACACGGACCAGACGCCUAAGGGAGGCAGCAGUAGGGAAUCUUCCGCAAUAGGCGAAAGCCUGACGGAGCAACGCCGCGUGAGUGAUGAAGGGGUUCGGCUCGUAAAACUCUGUUAUUAGGGAAGAACAAAUGUGUAAGUAACUGUGCACGUCUUGACGGUACCUAAUCAGAAAGCCACGGCUAACUACGUG
RNAcentral lists this ribosomal RNA (497 nucleotides) under uncultured bacterium. RNAcentral describes it as "partial 16S ribosomal RNA". It matches the Rfam family "Bacterial small subunit ribosomal RNA", at positions 28 to 507 of the family's 1533-position model. The record is from RNAcentral.